UGCAGAAUCCCGUGAACCAUCGAGUCUUUGAACGCAAGUUGCGCCCGAGGGACCCUCCCGAGGGCACGCCUGCCUCAUGGGCGUUAGAAGCCCAUCCACGCUCGGUUGCCUGAGUAACGGCAGAAGAUGCGGAUACUGGCCCUCCGAGCCGCGAGGCGCGGUGGGCCUAAGUGUGCGGCCGUCGUACGUGGCCGGGAGCGGCGAGUGGUGGGCUACUGCGCACGUCACCCCGAGCCCCGUGCCGACGCAGGGCCUUGUUUGAACCCCUAACGAGGAGCAUGCCGCUGCGGCUUCUGCUGCGCGGCGCCUUCGGACCGAUACCCCAGGUCAGGCGGGGCUACCCGCCGAGUUUAAGCAUAUAAAUAAGCGGAGGAGAAGAAACUUACAAGGAUUCCCCUAGUAACGGCGAGCGAACCGGGAGAUG
Molecule: ribosomal RNA, 424 nt
Filed under: Carex atrata
Lineage: Eukaryota; Viridiplantae; Streptophyta; Magnoliopsida; Poales; Cyperaceae
Description: eukaryotic LSU rRNA
Rfam family: Eukaryotic large subunit ribosomal RNA (bases 318-424)
Source: RNAcentral